Long non-coding RNA from Erigeron canadensis, 782 nucleotides. RefSeq lists it as uncharacterized. Lineage: Eukaryota; Viridiplantae; Streptophyta; Magnoliopsida; Asterales; Asteraceae. The record is from RefSeq and is a predicted model, not a curated record. The transcript is spliced from 5 exons.
AAGAUUCGAAUUUUCUAUUACUUUAUAUAUCCCCGAAAUAAUCUAUAUGUAUUUCGAUUCAUUUAUGUUCCUUUUCUUUCGGCAACAAAUGUUCAAUCGUCGAUAUAAAAGAUACUUGAGGUGGGGCAUUACGAGAAUCGAACUUGAGACCUCUUGCACCCGAAGCGAGAAUCAUACCACUAGUCCAAAUGCCCAUGUUUGUAAUAGAUUUCCUAAAUGGAUUGCUUAUUUUGGUAAUGCAGUUGCAACUUUCACCAAGUUGGGUGCUUAAGGAUCUUGGGAAAGGAAAGUGAAGUCAUAUUUAAUCUAAUCUGGUACAACUUUUCACCCAUUUCGGUGCUUAAGGAUAUUGGCAAGGAAAAGUUAGGUCACAUGUUCUUAAUCCGAUUACAUUUCACCAACCUUUCAAAACAUCAGAAGAAGAUUGUAAUGAGGCAACAUUCAUAGAGGAUUGAAAUAUUGAAUGCCGAUUUAUGAAUGCAUAUACUCAAUUAUGCAUGCAUGAAAAACAGUAGUUUAAGUGAUGGUGUGUAUAUUGUGAUGCAGAAAUAAUGCAUUCUAUAAACGAAUCACUGUCUUCUGCUUUUUAUCUCUAUUGCAGGUUUGUUUAUAAGAUCACUUUGAUGUGUUGGUUAGCAAUUGCUUAUUUUGGUAAUGCAGUUUGAUUUUUCACCUACUUGGGAUCCUGAAAAUCUUCAUAAAAAAUUAGUAAUGGUUCAUUUUGGUUAUAUUUUCUUUUCUUGUAGUUGCAUUUUCUUAACAAAAUAUGACAUAUAUAUCAG